AUUUUCUUUUUUUAAUUUUGGGGGCUGAAAAGAUGGUUCAGGGGUUAAGAGUACUUUUAUUGCAGUUGAGCAAUAGUGGCCACACUCUUUAGUCCCAGUACUUGGGAAACAAAGGCAAGUGGAUCUCUGUGAGCUUGAGGCUACCCUGGUCUACAAAGCUACAGGACAGUGAAGGCUACACAAUGAUAACCUGUCUCAAAAAUCAAAAAACAAACAAAAACCAGAAACCCAACAACAGCAAGGUGCUUGUUGCUCUUGCAGGGGAUCCAGCGUCACAAUUGUCUGUUACCUCUAGUUCCAGAAAUCUGACAUGCUCUUGUGAUCUCUGUGGGCAUACACAUGGGUGAAUAUAUAUAAAACAGGCACACACACAUGUAUAUCUCACUAUGUAAACUCCCACUCAGUAGCCAUUGCUAGCCUAGAAUUCACUAUGCUGAUCUCGCUUCCUAGUCUCUUUCAUACUAUUACUGUUUUAGUGAUUGCCAUAGAUAUUACCACAUGAAUUAUUUUUUUAAAAAUUUUAUUUAUUUAUUAUAUGUAAGUUCACUGUAGCUGUCUUCAGACACUCCAGAAGAGGGAGUCAGAUCUUGUUACAGAUGGUUGUGAGCCACCAUGUGGUUGCUGGGAUUUGAACUCAGGACCUUUGGAAGAGAAGUCAGUGCUCUUAACCUCUGAGCCAUCUCUCCAGCCCCUGAAUUCUUUUUUUUUAAAGAUUUAUUUAUUUAUUUAUUACAUGUAAUUACACUGUAGCUGUCUUCAGACACUCUAGAAGAGGGUAUCAGAUCUCAUUAUGGAUGGUUGUGACCCACCAUAUGGUUACUGGGAUUUGAACUCAGGACCUUCCAAAGAGCAGUAGGUGCUCUUAACCACUGAGCCAUCUCUCCAGCCUCCCACAUGAAUUCUUAAUUUAGCAAAGAGUCAUGCUAUUAAAUACCUUUAUAGGAAGAAUGGAAUUCAUUAAGAUCUUGCAAAGUAAGAAUAUUCCAGACCAGAUAAACGGGGAAGCACAGGGAAAGUAGCAUCAGAAAAUCACUCACCAUGUCUGGGAUUGUAAUCCUAGAUUUAAUUCUAGAAGCAACAGGAAAGCCAAAGAAAGUUCUUUAGAACAAUGAAGAUUCUAUUAUUGUUUGUCUGGUUACUGGAAUUAGAUGGGUAGCCCCAGGGUGUAUUUAUUAUUAUUUUUUUUUCAAAACAACCCUAUCUGUCCUGGAAAUCACUCUAUAGACUAAGGCAUCUUCAGGUCACAGAUCCACCUGCCUCUGCCCCCACGUCCUGGGAUUAAAAGAGAGCUCUUCCAUGCCUGGCUGACUUUCUUUUUAAGAGGAGAGGGGCUGAGAUCAAAGGCAUGCACCACUAUUCCCAGCAAGUUUAUUGUUAGUUUUUGAGAUUUUGUGUUUUAUUUUAUGAGUGUUUUACCAGAAUGCAUAUCUAUGAACUAUGCGGAAGAAGUGCCCAUAGAGGCCAGAAGAGAUUAUCAGAUGCCCUGGGACUGGAAUUACAAAUGAUGCUAAGAUGCCAUGUGGGUGCUAGGAAUUGAUUUAGGGUCAUUUGAAAGAACAGCCAGUGCUUUAAUCACUGAGCCAUCUCCUCAGCCCCAGAGUGUGGGCUUUAAAACCAACCAGGAAGGAUGUCUUGAUCCUGACAAAGAUAUCUGGGAAAAACAAGACUCAGCAGCUCAGGAAGAGCAGGGUUUCCUUUGUCCUUCAGUGAGGCAGGGCCAGUGUUGGGCCUGGAUGUCUAGCUUUAUUUGUGUCUCUGCCUUUCUUUGUCUCUUCACCUUCCCCAGCCCUCCUCCCUCCCUCCCAAUCACUAGCAAUUGCUUUCAAAAGGCCUAUCUUGCAAUUCUUAAAGCGCUGCUAGGUUUGUUUCAGUACAGUCUUUAAAACCCAGUUCAGUAAAGUCUAUCAAAUACGCUCUUACUCUAUUCUAGCCCCUACAUUAGGCUGAAAGAUCAAGUAAUCCAUUAAGUGGGGGUUGCCUCCUUAAACUAGCUCCUGAACACUUGAGAGACUGAGGCAGGAGAGUUGUGAUUUUUGAGACCAGCCUAGGCUAUAUAGUAACUUCUAGCCAGUCUGGGUCACAGAUUGAAACUAUCUCAGAAAAUAAAAGAACUUCCAGAAGGGUGUGUGAGGGGGGGUCUAGACAAGGAAUUCAUUUGCUACUUUGUGGCCAGAGUUCUAAUAAAAACUUGAUAGAAUGUUUCUAAUGCUACAGAUGUGGGAGGAUAGGCAGGUGAUUGUAAGAUGUAGGGAAAAGGAAAAGAUGAUCAAAGUUUCAUGGAAGAGGAAGAUAAAGCUAGGGUCUAAAAUCUAAUUGCUGAAGAAGAUGAUGACCAGAUUACAAAAGUGGUUGAGCACCACACUAAGGAAUUUAUCCCUGCUUAUAAAAGCUAUGGAGAGCUACGAAAUAAUUGAUUAACAGCAAAGAAGGGAGUCAGGAUUGUUGUACACCUGUACUCCCAGCUCCAGUGAGCCAAAAUAAGCAAAUCUCAUGAGUUGGGGCCAGCCUGUUCUACAUAGUGAGUUCCAGGUCUGACAGUGCUAAAAGUGAGACCCUGCC
This 2559-nucleotide long non-coding RNA is filed under the name Mus musculus (house mouse). RNAcentral describes it as "long non-coding RNA chr7:102213816-102216375". The record is from RNAcentral. Lineage: Eukaryota; Metazoa; Chordata; Mammalia; Rodentia; Muridae.